Molecule: long non-coding RNA, 1106 nt
Organism: Cyprinus carpio carpio
Lineage: Eukaryota; Metazoa; Chordata; Actinopteri; Cypriniformes; Cyprinidae
Source: Ensembl
AAAAUAAGGAGCUUUUUAAUUGAGUCUGUAUGACUUUUGGAGGAAUAGUUCACAAGAUUAUUAAGAUGCAUUUUGAAAAUAGUUUAGAUUAAUUGAUAUUUCAUGACAUCUUUAAGGAUCAUCUUUUUAUUGUAUAGAAUGAGUAUACUAUUAUCCAAUAUGCCUAGAUGAUGUGUAAAUGGUUGUCAACGUAAUACUAUGUGGUUGCUAAGGUAUUGUGAGUGACAACACAGUAUAUAUCCCCUGGCUCAUUUAUGUCCUUACAACAAAUGUGAAAGACUUACACAACAAAGUUCAAUAUUUAGGAAGCAAUAGUACAAGUGAUGGUUGUCUUGACAAGCACUAUUAAAGCACUAUUAGUUCACAAGAUUAUUAAGAUGCAUUUUGAAAAUAGAUUAGAUUAAUUGAUAUUUCAUGACAUCUUUAAGGAUCAUCUUUUUAUUAUAUAGAAUGAGUAUACUAUUAUCCAAUAUGCCUAGAUGAUGUGUAAAUGGUUGUCAAUGUAAUACUAUGUGGUUGCUAAGGUAUUGUGAGUGACCAUGGUACUAUGUGUAUGCUAGAGUGUUUUGGGUGGUUGCUAAGGUGUUGCCAGGAUGUUCAGGAUGGUCAUUAAGUGAUUGCUUACCAGCCCAAAUCAAAAUGAACCCAACAUUGCAUCCGAAAUCGAAUACUUCCCACUGUAUAGUAUGCGAAAAACAGUAUGCCAGUAUUCAAAAACAUUAGGAUAAAAGUACCCAGAUGACCUACUACUUCCGCAGGGAUUCUGAAGUGCACAUUUAACUUUUCUAUCCCAUGAGGCCAUGGGAGAGCAUUUAUGGAAGGCAGUGAAGCAUUGCAACUGACACUGUGAAACUCGCCCCCCUCCCUCCGCCGCGCUGCCUGUUGGUCUGUUGUGGUGAAGGGAUCGUUUCUGCUGCGACACAUGCUGGAAAAGGUAUCCUCCUAAUGACACUGUUUCACACCAAUGCCCUAUCUGCUCAACCAGUAUUAGUUAGGCUUUGGGGUUCAAGUGACUAAGGGGGUUUAGGGAUGGAUUUAAAAGGAGAAGAGGAGAGAAUGAAGAAAGAGAGAGAGUCUCUCUGUUGUUCUUGAAAAGCUGUAUUUAU